UAGAGUUUGAUCCUGGCUCAGAUUGAACGCUGGCGGCAUGCCUUACACAUGCAAGUCGAACGGCAGCACGGGGGCAACCCUGGUGGCGAGUGGCGAACGGGUGAGUAAUACAUCGGAACGUGUCCUGUAGUGGGGGAUAGCCCGGCGAAAGCCGGAUUAAUACCGCAUACGCUCUACGGAGGAAAGGGGGGGAUCUUAGGACCUCUCGCUACAGGGGCGGCCGAUGGCAGAUUAGCUAGUUGGUGGGGUAAAGGCCUACCAAGGCGACGAUCUGUAGCUGGUCUGAGAGGACGACCAGCCACACUGGGACUGAGACACGGCCCAGACUCCUACGGGAGGCAGCAGUGGGGAAUUUUGGACAAUGGGCGCAAGCCUGAUCCAGCAAUGCCGCGUGUGUGAAGAAGGCCUUCGGGUUGUAAAGCACUUUUGUCCGGAAAGAAAACGUCGUGGUUAAUACCCGUGGCGGAUGACGGUACCGGAAGAAUAAGCACCGGCUAACUACGUGCCAGCAGCCGCGGUAAUACGUAGGGUGCAAGCGUUAAUCGGAAUUACUGGGCGUAAAGCGCACGCAGGCGGUCUGUCAAGUCGGAUGUGAAAUCCCCGGGCUCAACCUGGGAACUGCAUUCGAAACUGGCAGGCUAGAGUCUUGUAGAGGGGGGUAGAAUUCCAGGUGUAGCGGUGAAAUGCGUAGAGAUCUGGAGGAAUACCGGUGGCGAAGGCGGCCCCCUGGACAAAGACUGACGCUCAGGUGCGAAAGCGUGGGGAGCAAACAGGAUUAGAUACCCUGGUAGUCCACGCCGUAACGAUGUCGACUUGGAGGUUGUGCCCUUGAGGCGUGCUUCCGGAGCUAACGCGUUAAGUCGACCGCCUGGGGAGUACGGCCGCAAGGUUAAAACUCGAAUGAAUUGACGGGGGCCCGCACAAGCGGUGGAGCAUGUGGUUUAAUUCGAUGCAACGCGAAGAACCUUACCUACUCUUGACAUCCAGAGAACUUAGCAGAGAUGCUUCGGUGCCUUCGGGAACUCUGAGACAGGUGCUGCAUGGCUGUCGUCAGCUCGUGUUGUGAAAUGUUGGGUUAAGUCCCGCAACGAGCGCAACCCUUAUCCUUUGUUGCCAGCGAUUCGGUCGGGAACUCAAAGGAGACUGCCAGUGAUAAACUGGAGGAAGGUGGGGAUGACGUCAAGUCAUCAUGGCCCUUACGAGUAGGGCUACACACGUGCUACAAUGGCAUAUACAAAGAGAAGCGACCUCGCGAGAGCAAGCGGACCUCAUAAAGUAUGUCGUAGUCCGGAUUGGAGUCUGCAACUCGACUCCAUGAAGUCGGAAUCGCUAGUAAUCGUAGAUCAGAAUGCUACGGUGAAUACGUUCCCGGGCCUUGUACACACCGCCCGUCACACCAUGGGAGUGGGUUGCAAAAGAAGUAGGUAGCUUAACCUUCGGGAGGGCGCUUACCACUUUGUGAUUCAUGACUGGGGUGAAGUCGUAACAAGGUAGCCGAUCUAGAUGC
This 1507-nucleotide ribosomal RNA is filed under the name uncultured Enterobacter sp. RNAcentral describes it as "partial 16S ribosomal RNA". It matches the Rfam family "Bacterial small subunit ribosomal RNA". Lineage: Bacteria; Pseudomonadati; Pseudomonadota; Gammaproteobacteria; Enterobacterales; Enterobacteriaceae. The record is from RNAcentral.